GGAAGGAUCAUUAUCAUACAAUGGAGAUGCAAGGGCUGUUGCUAACCAUUCAAAGGUUGUGCACGCCUGAGUUGCUCUCCUACACAUCCAUUUCACCCCUUAUGUGCAUCACGGCGUGGGGAUCCCUUGAAAGGCCCCACGUUUCUUUUUUCCUUACACACAAACCUCAAAGUAGUGUAAAAAAGAAUGUAUUUUCAUUAUUUGCAGUGAUAUGCAAUUAAUACAACUUUCAACAACGGAUCUCUUGGCUCUCGCAUCGAUGAAGAACGCAGCGAAAUGCGAUACGUAAUGUGAAUUGCAGAAUUCAGUGAAUCAUCGAAUCUUUGAACGCACCUUGCACCCCUUGGUAUUCUGAGGGGUACACCCGUUUGAGUGUCGUGAAAUUCUCAAAAAGCCUUUUCUUGAUCUUCAAGGAAAAGUAUUUUUGGACUUGGAGGAAUUAAUGCUCCCUUUCAGUUAUUGAAAGGGAGCUCCUCUUAAAUAAAUCAGUGGGGUUUUGCUUUGCUAAUCCUUGAUGUGAUAAAGCAAUUCUACAUUUUGGAUAUAGCAUUGCCCUUUUAUUUUAAACACCUGCUUCUAAUUGUCUUAUGGACAAUGAUGGUGUUCUGGUCAACUGGCCACCUAUGUUGGUGGGAGAAGGCUAGACCCACAAGAAAUAACCUUGACCUCAAAUCGGGUGAGACUACCCGCUGAACUUAAGCAUAUCAAUAAGCGGAGGAAAAGAAACUAACAAGGAUUCCCCUAGUAACUGCGAGUGAAGCGGGAAAAGCUCAAAUUUAAAAUCUGGUGGUCUUUGGCCAUCCGAGUUGUAAUUUAGAGAAGCGUUUUCUGCGCUGGGCCAUGCACAAGUCUCCUGGAAUGGAGCGUCAUAGAGGGUGAGAAUCCCGUCUUUGGCAUGGAUAUAACCAGGGCUUUUCUGAUGCGCUCUCAAGAGUCGAGUUGUUU
RNAcentral lists this ribosomal RNA (945 nucleotides) under uncultured fungus. RNAcentral describes it as "eukaryotic LSU rRNA". The stretch from base 663 to 945 matches the Rfam family "Eukaryotic large subunit ribosomal RNA", at positions 1 to 275 of the family's 3401-position model. Lineage: Eukaryota; Fungi. The record is from RNAcentral.